AUGGGGAACUGCGCGGCGAGGGGGGACACGGCGGUCACGGCGGCCGGCGCGGGCGGCGAGGACGUGAAGAGGCGGCGGAGGAGGUGGAAGGCGCCGCGGGAGGACCAGCUGGGGACGGUCCCCGGGCGGAUCUUCUCCAACGACGGCCGCAGCCGCACCGCCUCCGUCUUCACGCAGCAGGGCCGCAAGGGGAUCAACCAGGACGCCAUGCUCAUCUGGGAUGGGUUCGGCGGGGAGGAGGACGGCGUGCUGUGCGGGGUGUUCGACGGCCACGGGCCGCACGGCCACCUGGUGGCGCGCAGGGUGCGCGACUCGCUGCCGCUCAGGCUCAUGUCCGCCGCGCGCGCCUCGCCCAAGAGCGGGCUGGACAUGCCGGCCGCCGCCUGGAGGAAGGCCUUCACGCGCACCUACAAGGCCAUGGACAAGGACCUCCGCUCCCACCCCGCCCUCGACAGCUUCUGCAGCGGCAGCACCGCCGUCACCGUCCUCAAGCUCGGCACGGACCUUUACAUGGCCAACAUCGGGGACUCGCGCGCCGUCCUAGGCUCCAGAGACGCCGCCGCCGGCGGCGUGGCGGCCGUGCAGCUCACCGUUGACCUCAAGCCCGACGUCCCCAGCGAGGCGGAGCGGAUCAAGAAGUGCAGGGGCAGGGUGUUCGCGCUGCAGGACGAGCCGGAGGUGCCGAGGGUGUGGCUUCCAUUUGACGACGCGCCGGGCCUGGCCAUGGCGCGGGCGUUCGGGGACUUCUGCCUCAAGGACUACGGCGUCAUCUCGGUGCCGGAGUUCUUCCACUGGCCUCUCACGGACAAGGACCAGUUCGUCAUCCUCGCAUCCGACGGGGUCUGGGAUGUCCUAAGCAACCAAGAGGCUGUCGACAUAGUGUCCUCGUCCCCAAGUCGGUCAAAGGCGGCAAGGACUCUUGUCGAGGCAGCUAACCGUGAAUGGAAAACCAAGUAUCCAACAUCCAGGACCGACGACUGCGCGGUCGUUUGCUUAUAUUUGGAUGGCAAAAUGGACCAUGAGCGUGAUUCGACCGCGUCCAUGGAUAACAUCAGCAUUGAGGAUGAUUCAGUCGCUGACCCUAACGAAGCGCAGGAGCAACAGGAGCCCGCCUUAACUCGCAAUUUCACAGUUAGGACAGUUCCGGGGAGUGCUCAGGAGAAAGCCUUGGCGGGCGCAGACGCCAAGGUUUCUGGUGGAGCCGAUGAUCACAACUGGUCAGGCCUCGAUGGGGUGACACGGGUGAACUCGCUCGUUCAGCUUCCCAGGUUCUCCGAGGAGAAGGCGAUCAGUUGA
This 1296-nucleotide ribosomal RNA is filed under the name Triticum aestivum (bread wheat). Its description in RNAcentral is "partial small subunit ribosomal RNA". Lineage: Eukaryota; Viridiplantae; Streptophyta; Magnoliopsida; Poales; Poaceae. The record is from RNAcentral.